GUGUCUCGCGUCUUUGGUCAACGUUCAACACAGCAGUUCAGUUGCUGUUUUGGACAUUGGUGUAAGGCGCGGAUAC
RNAcentral lists this microRNA precursor (76 nucleotides) under Spodoptera frugiperda (fall armyworm). RNAcentral describes it as "microRNA sfr-mir-10498 precursor". The record is from miRBase by way of RNAcentral. Lineage: Eukaryota; Metazoa; Arthropoda; Insecta; Lepidoptera; Noctuidae.